UGCCUGUCGAUGUGUCUGACGAAUUCGAGCCCGACACUCCGGUUUCAGGUCGCCAACAUUCCUCUCCUCGAAGAUGCAUGGGCAUGCCGCCUGUCGAGCAGGUCGUGCUCUCAGCGCUGGGCCAGAAGGGCCUAGAUCCAGCCAGGUGGGUCAUGUUGUUGCAUUUAUUACUCCAGGCGUGAAUUAGAGGAGAACAUGAUGAAGCUGGCUCACAUAAACGAAAAGCUUAUUUACUAGGACCGUGACCUAGACAGGUUAUACCCACAGCAGGCUGCAAAAUUUAGGGCAUGAAUUACAUUGCAAGGUUUCGUUCAGGAUGAAUUAGAUUCAUUGAGUUGAAGGAGGACCAUCACGAGAAGUGGAAUUAUGAUUUUUGCUUGCAAACUGGAGGGAUAUAAUUUCUACCAUAGUUUGUUCGAUUGAAAGAAAGCAUGAAUGUCAACGUGAUGAUUGUAAUCAAACAAUUUUUAAUGUCCUGGGGCUCUGUUAGUUUGAUCCUUUUGUAACCAAACAAUUUGUAAUAUCUGUGGCAUCCAUCUUUCCCGUCCUGAUGAGUAAGAUACAUGCAACACUCGCUCAGCACUUAUAGAGCAUGGCACUUCCUUGUGAUGAUCUGGUGGUACA
This is a long non-coding RNA of Lolium rigidum, 624 nucleotides long. RefSeq lists it as uncharacterized. The transcript is spliced from 2 exons. The record is from RefSeq and is a predicted model, not a curated record. NCBI's taxonomy places the organism in Eukaryota, Viridiplantae, Streptophyta, Magnoliopsida, Poales, Poaceae.